The sequence is a transfer RNA, 74 nucleotides long. It matches the Rfam family "tRNA". Rfam says of the family: Transfer RNA (tRNA) molecules are approximately 80 nucleotides in length. Their secondary structure includes four short double-helical elements and three loops (D, anti-codon, and T loops).
GCCCCAUUAGCUCAGCUGGUCAGAGCAUCGUGCUUAUGACACGAAGGUCGCGGGUUCGAGCCCCGCACGGGGUA